GCAUAUCAAUAAGCGGAGGAAAAGAAACUAACAAGGAUUCCCCUAGUAACGGCGAGUGAAGAGGGAAAAGCCCAAAUUUGUAAUCUGGCUCUUUUAUAAGGGUCCGAGUUGUAAUUUUGAGAACUGUUUUCUGUGCUGGACCAUGUACAAGUCUGUUGAAAAACAGCAUCAUUGAGGGUGAUAAUCCCGUACGUGAUAUGGACUACCAGGGCAAUAUGAUACAGUCUCUAAGAGUCGAGUUGUUUGGGAAUGCAGCUCAAAGUGGGUGGUAAAUUCCAUCUAAGGCUAAAUAUAGGUGAGAGACCGAUAGCAAACAAGUACCGUGAGGGAAAGAUGAAAAGAACUUUGGAAAGAGAGUUAACAGUACGUGAAAUUGUUAAAAGGGAAACAUUUGAAGUUAGACUUGUUAUUGUUGGUUCAGCUUCUUUAUUGAGGUGUAUUCUGAUGAUUAACAGACCAGCAUCAAUUUUUGGGUGUUGGAUAAGGGUUUUGGGAAUGUGGCAGCUUCGGUUGUGUUAUAGACCAUUACUUUGAUACAAUGCUUAGGAUUGAGGAACGCAGUAAGCUUUGUUGCAGAUUUUUUCGGAAGUCUCCUUACUACGGAUGUUGGUGCAAUAGCUUUAAAUGACCCGUCUUGAAACACGGACC
RNAcentral lists this ribosomal RNA (648 nucleotides) under Thekopsora rubiae. Its description in RNAcentral is "eukaryotic LSU rRNA". It matches the Rfam family "Eukaryotic large subunit ribosomal RNA", at positions 38 to 667 of the family's 3401-position model. Lineage: Eukaryota; Fungi; Basidiomycota; Pucciniomycetes; Pucciniales; Coleosporiaceae. The record is from RNAcentral.